UGCGUACACAAUAAAACUGAAAGGACUAAGAAUCUACUGAAUGAUGCAAAAUAUCAUUGCACGAUGCAAGUCAUUUUACAUACAGUACGACUCUUACGUAAAAGACAUCAGGGUGUAAUAUAAAAACGUAUUAUGCAAAUCUUUAAUCGUCUCCAUAUACAUUCGGCGUGAAGAGUCAAAUUUAAUUGCAACAGCUCCAAUAUAGUUCUUAUUACUGUCGGUGUCUCGGUAUAAAAAUGGGAGCUCGUUUAAUCGUCUCUAACACGCGGCGUAUAAAACGAUGUGGAUUAAGCGCGACGAGAAGAAGCGGGGAAUUAGAAUAUCCCCGUCUCGGUGAAUUUCUCAGGUGAGAGCGAAGAGGACGAGUGACUUUCUCAGAUACUCCUCGUUCCCAGCAUUAUCCAGAGCUUCCGACGAAAUUAUUACGAGCUGAAGAGGAGUUUCGAAAGAAGGAAAUGCAAGAUGUAGGAAUUAUGCAUUCGUGUCUCCUGUGCGUUGCCGGCAUGAAGGAACGAAACGAUAAAACGCGUAGUGAAUCAUAGACGCUUCGCGGCCGGGAGGAACGGAAUCGGAUGUUCGUGCAAUGGUUUUACGAGGAGGCGCCUUCGAGAUGUAGGUCAGGACGAAAAGGGGGAAGAACUGACCCAGCAGAAAUGCGAGUACGGCAAGCGUGCCAGCGGUUUGUCGCGCGGAACGGAGGAAAGAAAGAAAACGAGAGAAAACGAAAGAAUCUAUUGUAUUCUGGGAAAACUCACCUGUAACAAAUAGAAUUAUAUAACAAGUGGAGAAUUGAAUAUAUAAAAGA
Molecule: long non-coding RNA, 805 nt
Organism: Mycetomoellerius zeteki
Lineage: Eukaryota; Metazoa; Arthropoda; Insecta; Hymenoptera; Formicidae
Exons: 3
Source: RefSeq, a predicted model, not a curated record